Molecule: ribosomal RNA, 254 nt
Filed under: uncultured bacterium
Lineage: Bacteria
Description: partial 16S ribosomal RNA
Rfam family: Bacterial small subunit ribosomal RNA
Source: RNAcentral
UACGGGGGGAGCAAGCGUUGUUCGGAUUUACUGGGCGUAAAGGGCGCGUAGGCGGCCACCGCAAGUCGACUGUGAAAUCUCCGGGCUUAACUCGGAAAGGUCAGCCGAUACUGCGGGGCUAGAGUGCAGAAGGGGCAACUGGAAUUCUCGGUGUAGCGGUGAAAUGCGUAGAUAUCGAGAGGAACACCUGCGGCGAAGGCGGGUUGCUGGGCUGACACUGACGCUGAGGUGCGAAAGCGUGGGGAGCAAACAGG